RNAcentral lists this ribosomal RNA (253 nucleotides) under uncultured bacterium. RNAcentral describes it as "partial 16S ribosomal RNA". It matches the Rfam family "Bacterial small subunit ribosomal RNA", at positions 524 to 776 of the family's 1533-position model. The record is from RNAcentral.
UACGGGGGGGGCAAGCGUUGUUCGGAAUUACUGGGCGUAAAGGGUUCGUAGGUGGCCAACUAAGUCAGACGUGAAAUCCCUCAGCUUAACUGGGGAACUGCGUCUGAGACUGGAUGGCUUGAGUGCAGGAGAGGAACGCGGAAUUCCAGGUGUAGCGGUGAAAUGCGUAGAUAUCAGGAGGAACACCGGUGGCGAAGGCGGGUCUCUGGGCCGAAAUUGACGCUGAGGAGCGAAAGCGUGGGGAGCAAACAGG